CCUUUGUACACACCGCCCGUCGCUACUACCGAUUGAAUGGCCCAGUGAGGCCUUCGGACUGGCUCGGGGAGGUUGGCAACGACCACCCCAAGCCGGAAAGUUGGUCAAACUCGGUCAUUUAGAGG
Molecule: ribosomal RNA, 125 nt
Filed under: Pyrenophora graminea
Lineage: Eukaryota; Fungi; Ascomycota; Dothideomycetes; Pleosporales; Pleosporaceae
Description: partial small subunit ribosomal RNA
Rfam family: Eukaryotic small subunit ribosomal RNA
Source: RNAcentral